This 292-nucleotide ribosomal RNA is filed under the name uncultured bacterium. RNAcentral describes it as "partial 16S ribosomal RNA". It matches the Rfam family "Bacterial small subunit ribosomal RNA", at positions 505 to 796 of the family's 1533-position model. The record is from RNAcentral.
GUGUCAGCCGCCGCGGUAAUACGGAGGGUGCAAGCGUUAUCCGGAUUCACUGGGUUUAAAGGGUGCGUAGGUGGGUUGGUAAGUCAGUGGUGAAAUCCCCGAGCUUAACUUGGGAACUGCCAUUGAUACUAUCAGUCUUGAAUACCGUGGAGGUCAGCGGAAUAUGUCAUGUAGCGGUGAAAUGCUUAGAUAUGACAUAGAACACCAAUUGCGAAGGCAGCUGGCUACUCGGAUAUUGACACUGAGGCACGAAAGCGUGGGGAUCAAACAGGAUUAGAAACCCGCGUAGUCC